This is a long non-coding RNA of Myotis lucifugus (little brown bat), 399 nucleotides long. RefSeq lists it as uncharacterized. The transcript is spliced from 2 exons. The record is from RefSeq and is a predicted model, not a curated record. NCBI's taxonomy places the organism in Eukaryota, Metazoa, Chordata, Mammalia, Chiroptera, Vespertilionidae.
UACAGAAAAGCAUAGAAAAGAAGAUAAAGUGCAUAUAAUGAUAAUACCACCACUCGGAGGCAACCAUGGUCAUUCCGGACUCCUAAAGCCGCCAGUCCCUCAGUGAGACAUGAGCGCCACUGGCGUCCGUGGCCUCUGUUUCCGUGGCAACCCAGUAACCAUUAAUUUUCAAUUAAAGGAGACAAAAAGCUGGAUGACAGCGCUAGGUCUGCUGAAGAUGUCAAGAAUCUGUAUUAAUAUACAGCAAGAGAGCAUAAUUGUGUGUCCAUCUUCCCGAGCAGCGAAAAAUGGAGGGAUAAUUACCAGCUCGAAAGCCACUCUGUAAUUUAGUUCUUACUGUCACCACAGCCCUACACAUUAGCAUAAAUUAAAAGCAGAGUUUAUUGUUAUCAAAGUGCA